Non-coding RNA from Caerostris darwini, 78 nucleotides. The record is from the annotation of a GenBank genome assembly. NCBI's taxonomy places the organism in Eukaryota, Metazoa, Arthropoda, Arachnida, Araneae, Araneidae.
UUAGAUCACCGAAGUCAAGCAUCAUUCGGCGCGGUCAGUACUUGGGUGGGUGACACCUGGGAACACCGCGUGCCGUUA